Molecule: long non-coding RNA, 263 nt
Organism: Pipistrellus kuhlii (Kuhl's pipistrelle)
Lineage: Eukaryota; Metazoa; Chordata; Mammalia; Chiroptera; Vespertilionidae
Exons: 2
Source: RefSeq, a predicted model, not a curated record
UACCCACAGUACCCACCCAGGUAUGGAUAUGAAGGAAGGUGGUAAUCACUGGACAGAUGACAGAGGCUUGGUGAGACGUCUUCUUUGCUCUCUCCUCAUGACGAUUCUUCUGACUCAAAAAUCCUUUGACACAUCUAGCAACGUAUUACCAGCCUGCUUACAAUAAAUACAUCCAAAGUGCUUCAAAAAGCAUAUUUUAUCAAACAAUUCAAAAAGCAAAGCAUUAUUUGUAUUCUCUCAGGCAUUAGGUUGGAAUUUAAAAA